Molecule: small RNA, 81 nt
Filed under: Salix viminalis (osier)
Lineage: Eukaryota; Viridiplantae; Streptophyta; Magnoliopsida; Malpighiales; Salicaceae
Source: RNAcentral
ACCAGAAUCGAGAAAAAAACUGUCUGAUUCUGAGUCUUUCCAAGAUGAAAUGGGAGAUCGAAACUGCUAAAGAUGACUGCU